Molecule: non-coding RNA, 64 nt
Filed under: Polytomella parva
Lineage: Eukaryota; Viridiplantae; Chlorophyta; Chlorophyceae; Chlamydomonadales; Chlamydomonadaceae
Source: RNAcentral
AUUUUAUAUAUUUCUUUAGAAAAGUUAAACCAAAAAAAAAAAAAGAUUAUAAAGCCGCUGUUAC